UCCGUAGGCGGUACGUUAAGUCAGUGGUGAAAUCUCCCGGCUCAACCGGGAAACUGCCAUUGAUACUGGCGUACUUGAGUAUGGACGAGGUAAGCGGAAUUUAUGGUGUAACGGUGAAAUGCAUAGAUACCAUAAAGAACACCGAUAGUGAAGACAGCUUACUAGACCAUAACUGACGCUGAGGCACGAAAGCGUGGGGAGCGAACAGGAUUAGAUACCCUGGUAGUCC
RNAcentral lists this ribosomal RNA (229 nucleotides) under uncultured bacterium. RNAcentral's name for it is "partial 16S ribosomal RNA". It matches the Rfam family "Bacterial small subunit ribosomal RNA", at positions 568 to 796 of the family's 1533-position model. The record is from RNAcentral.